CUAUCUUGUGUUUUGGCUCUGAGUCCCCGCUUUCAAACCUCACUUCCAGCUUAUUCUUGAUUGUUUGCUUGAGGGCAAGCAAAGACUAAGUUUGGGAGAGUUGAUAAGUGUGUAUUUUGCAUGUUUUGAGCAUCCAUUUGUUAUCAUUUUAGCAUCAUAUCAUCACUGUUUUAUACCAUUUCACAUCAUUUGUCACCACUUUGCAUGUUUAGGAUAGUUUUGCAUGCAUGUUGCAUAUUUGCGUUGAUUUCAGGUGAUUUGGAGCUGUUGACGAGCCAUCUGGAAGAAGCGGACCUGAUCACGACAAACCACUCGACCAAGAGGUCGAGCAGGAGCUUCAAGAUCCCAAGAGACCAAUCGACCCCCAGGUCGAGCAUAGGACAUCACCACUUCACUUCACCACUCGACCUCUUCACUCCACCUGGAAGUCGAGUAUCUUCUAACACCACUCGAUCACCUCACUCGACCCCCAGGUCGAGUGCCUUCACCUUCACUGCUAGACCACUACUCGACCUCAUCACUCUACCUAGAGGUCGAGUACCUCCAUCACACCGCUCGACUGCAUACUCGAUGACAAGCUUCAGAGCCUUCUUCAUUCCGCACUCAACCAGACACUCGAGCACAAGGAAGAAAAGAAGACUCCAGCUAUUCACUCGACCUCUCACUCGACCACCUGGGUCGAGUACAGUUCUUAACCCGUCCAAAUACUUCGUCGUUUUGAGUAUUAGGGUUUCGGGAUAUUUGGCUAUAAGUAGCAUGUACUUCUCAUUUUCGCAGACAAGAAGUUUUUACCUAGUUUUAUUUCCGCAGACCUUGUGUUCUAGACUUUUUGUAAUCCGGAUUUCUCUUUAUCUAUUCAGUAUUCAGCUUUGGUUCUUGAUUUUCGUUUACUGUUGUUCAUUCUGUUAUCACACUACUGUUACACUGUUGUUAUCAUGUCUUCAACCUGUUCAACGUUUAUGCUUUCUGUUAUGAUGUCUGAGUAGUGAAUAGGUUUCUGAGGAUGGGUUAGAGUAGUGUAGAAUUCUCAGUAUGCUAGGUGAUUGAGUAUUGAUUGAUAGAUCCCUUCUGGAUUAGUUGUUCUUAAUGCCUAUUGCUUUCUGAUCAACUGGAAUUUGAGCCCAGACAUUUCCGCGCCCAAAAGGUGUUCGAUGAAAUGUCUAAACCACUAAUUCCAAAGAUUUGUGACCCUGUACCAAGGUAUUUGUUGCAGGGAGCGUUUUGGCUUUAACUUGUUGAUUCGUAAUGCCUGUUAGGUUAGCUCUCGUCAAUGGUGAUUGAGUCUAGGACUAGGUUAGCUUGAGAGUCUCUGUUGCGGUGGCACUUAGAUUUGGUUAAUGAACUUGUUGUCUAGGGUUAAUUUAUUGAGUAUGUCAAUCACCUGUAAACUGAGGAAACGAAACUACUCAAUUAUCCCAUCCUUAGGAAUUCUUUAUCUGAUUGAUUUUUUUGUUUACUCUACUACUGUUUACUGCAUAUUGUCAUCUGUUGCUUAGUUUCUGCAAUUCUUUACUGUUACUCGAUCUGAUACUCGACCACCCAGUUGUCUUGCAACAGACUGUGCAGUCGAGUAUCCCUGUUUCAUUUCCUGUCUAUUACUCGACCUGUCACUCGACCUCACCCAGAGUUCUGGAAAGAGCUGUGUUGGUCGAGUGUUUUACUGUUUCUGUUUGAUUUUCUGUUUUCUGCAUGUUCACUUAGGACUGCUGGAACACACCAAAACCUGUUAUGCUUGGCUUGACUUAGUGACUUUUGAUCACAUCUUGAUUGUUAGCAUCACACCCAUUUGGAUUGACAACCUAAAAUACUACAAUGACAUGAUUGGUGUUUUAGGAUAAUUGACUAAAAACCUAUUAUCAAAGUGCUAACGACGAUCUCUUAUUUGAGGGAGUAAGCUUAAGGCAAUUUGAGCUAUAUUAAUAUGCAACAACUGAGAAGGAACUUCUAGCUGUUGUAUUCGCAUUUGAGAAGUUCAGAAGCUAUUUGGUUGGAUCCAAGGUCACUGUCUAUAAAGACCAUGCAACUUUGAGGCAUAUGUAUGCCAAGAAGGAUACUAAACCAAGACUGUUGAGAUGCAUACUUCUGUUGCAAGAGUUUGACAUGGAUAUAGUAGACAAGAAGGACAUUGAAAAUGGUGCAGUUGACCAUCUGGCAAGGAUGAGAAUUGAAGAACCUAUUCAAAUAGACGACUCAAUGCCAAAAG
This 2203-nucleotide small RNA is filed under the name Arabidopsis thaliana (thale cress). RNAcentral describes it as "ATSL271200". The record is from RNAcentral. Lineage: Eukaryota; Viridiplantae; Streptophyta; Magnoliopsida; Brassicales; Brassicaceae.